This 73-nucleotide transfer RNA is filed under the name Candidatus Woesebacteria bacterium RIFCSPHIGHO2_01_FULL_39_95. RNAcentral describes it as "tRNA-Ile". It matches the Rfam family "tRNA". Rfam says of the family: Transfer RNA (tRNA) molecules are approximately 80 nucleotides in length. Their secondary structure includes four short double-helical elements and three loops (D, anti-codon, and T loops). The record is from RNAcentral. Lineage: Bacteria; Candidatus Woeseibacteriota. RNAcentral also lists the same sequence under 4 other names.
GGAUGCGUAGCUCAAUGGUUAGAGCACCAACCUUAUAAGUUGGGGGUUCCUGGUUCGAGCCCAGGCGCAUCCA